This 250-nucleotide ribosomal RNA is filed under the name uncultured bacterium. RNAcentral describes it as "partial 16S ribosomal RNA". It matches the Rfam family "Bacterial small subunit ribosomal RNA", at positions 524 to 772 of the family's 1533-position model. The record is from RNAcentral.
UACGGGGGGGGCAAGCGUUGUUCGGAAUUACUGGGCGUAAAGGGCUCGUAGGCGGCCAACUCAGUCGGACGUGAAAGCCCUCGGCUUAACCGAGGAACUGCGUCCGAUACUGGAUGGCUUGAGUGUGGGAGAGGGAUGCGGAAUUCCAGGUGUAGCGGUGAAAUGCGUAGAUAUCUGGAGGAACACCGGUGGCGAAGGCGGCAUCCUGGACCACGACUGACGCUGAGUGAGCGAAAGCCAGGGGAGCAAA